Podarcis lilfordi (Lilford's wall lizard) is the source of this 76-nucleotide non-coding RNA. The record is from the annotation of a GenBank genome assembly. NCBI's taxonomy places the organism in Eukaryota, Metazoa, Chordata, Lepidosauria, Squamata, Lacertidae.
ACCCUCAGACAGGAUAGCUCGGUAGAACUUGAGAUUCAGAAUCUCAGGGUUGUGGGUUUGAACCCCACGUUGGGCA